Vicugna pacos (alpaca) is the source of this 502-nucleotide non-coding RNA. Lineage: Eukaryota; Metazoa; Chordata; Mammalia; Artiodactyla; Camelidae. The record is from RefSeq and is a predicted model, not a curated record.
AACAUUGUCCUGCAGAAGCUGAAGCCCAGUGCCCCUUACACCAUCACCCUGUCCACCCUGCAUCCUGAUGGGGAAGGAGGUCAGAUGAUGGGGAGAGGCAACACCAGUGCCAAUCCCUGGGAAUACCAAUUAUGCCAUUCUGAGGAAUCUGUAGCCAGAUACCCCAUACACCAUUACGGUGGUUCUCGUUUAUCCUGAGGGUGAUGGAGGGUGUACAUCAUACACUGGAAGGACAUGGAAUGGUGAGAGGACUGGCCAGAAAUGUCCAACUGUACAAUCCGAUGCCAAACAGCUGGGACGUUGGCUGGACCCCGCCCCUGGCCGGUGCAGCAGCUCCCCUGGCUGGCACGAGGCCCCUGGAACCUGUAAGUACUGUUGUCAGCUUAGAGCUGGCAGAAGAAUUUUGUAGAUUUUAUGGCACCUUCUGCUGUAGUUGCUGGUGCAGGGCAGUAGAUGAGUUGGUGUGGCCCUGGGUCACAUGCACACUCAUUUCCUGAUGAAU